RNAcentral lists this non-coding RNA (21 nucleotides) under Arabidopsis thaliana (thale cress). The record is from RNAcentral. Lineage: Eukaryota; Viridiplantae; Streptophyta; Magnoliopsida; Brassicales; Brassicaceae.
CUAUGGUACCAAGUUCACCUU